UACGAAGGGGGCUAGCGUUGCUCGGAAUCACUGGGCGUAAAGCGCACGUAGGCGGAUUGCUAAGUCAGGGGUGAAAUCCUGGAGCUCAACUCCAGAACUGCCUUUGAUACUGGCGAUCUCGAGUCCGGGAGAGGUGAGUGGAACUGCGAGUGUAGAGGUGAAAUCCGUAGAUAUUCGCAAGAACACCAGUGGCGAAGGCGGCUCACUGGCCCGGUACUGACGCUGAGGUGCGAAAGCGUGGGGAGCAAACAGG
RNAcentral lists this ribosomal RNA (253 nucleotides) under uncultured bacterium. Its description in RNAcentral is "partial 16S ribosomal RNA". It matches the Rfam family "Bacterial small subunit ribosomal RNA", at positions 524 to 776 of the family's 1533-position model. The record is from RNAcentral.